UACAUACAUAUAUAUAUACACACACACACAUAUAUAUAUAUAUGUGUGUGUGUGUGUGUGUGUGUGUGUGUGUAUU
Molecule: non-coding RNA, 76 nt
Organism: Podarcis lilfordi (Lilford's wall lizard)
Lineage: Eukaryota; Metazoa; Chordata; Lepidosauria; Squamata; Lacertidae
Source: the annotation of a GenBank genome assembly